GAUGAACGCUGGCGGCGUGCUUAACACAUGCAAGUCGAACGGAAAGGCUCCUGCUUGCAGGGGUACUCGAGUGGCGAACGGGUGAGUAACACGUGGGUGAUCUGCCCUGCACUUCGGGAUAAGCCUGGGAAACUGGGUCUAAUACCGGAUAGGACCACAUUUUGGAUGGUGUGGUGGAAAGUUUUUCGGUGUGGGAUGAGCGCGCGGCCUAUCAGCUUGUUGGUGGGGGAAUGGCCUACCAAGGCGUCGACGGGUAGCCGGCCUGAGAGGGUGGACGGCCACAUUGGUACUGAGAUACGGCCCAGACGCCUACGGGAGGCAGAAGUGGGGAAUAUUGCACAAUGGGCGCAAGCCUGAUGCAGCGACGCCGCGUGGGGGAUGACGGCCUUCGGGUUGUAAACUCCUUUCGCUAGGGACGAAGCGCAAGUGACGGUACCUGGAGAAGAAGCACCGGCUAACUACGUG
RNAcentral lists this ribosomal RNA (465 nucleotides) under uncultured bacterium. RNAcentral describes it as "partial 16S ribosomal RNA". It matches the Rfam family "Bacterial small subunit ribosomal RNA", at positions 28 to 507 of the family's 1533-position model. The record is from RNAcentral.